This 23-nucleotide small nuclear RNA is filed under the name Arabidopsis thaliana (thale cress). RNAcentral's name for it is "snRNA_11699". Lineage: Eukaryota; Viridiplantae; Streptophyta; Magnoliopsida; Brassicales; Brassicaceae. The record is from RNAcentral.
CAGAUCUGGAACUUCUUCAGUCG